CAAUACAUAAGUAACCUGCCCUAGACAGGGGGAUAACUAUUGGAAACGAUAGCUAAGACCGCAUAGGUACGGACACUGCAUGGUGACCGUAUUAAAAGUGCCUCAAAGCACUGGUAGAGGAUGGACUUAUGGCGCAUUAGCUGGUUGGCGGGGUAACGGCCCACCAAGGCGACGAUGCGUAGCCGACCUGAGAGGGUGACCGGCCACACUGGGACUGAGACACGGCCCAG
This 230-nucleotide ribosomal RNA is filed under the name uncultured bacterium. RNAcentral describes it as "partial 16S ribosomal RNA". It matches the Rfam family "Bacterial small subunit ribosomal RNA", at positions 111 to 334 of the family's 1533-position model. The record is from RNAcentral.